GACCUACGGGAGGCAGCAGUAGGGAAUUUUCGUCAAUGGGGGAAACCCUGAACGAGCAAUGCCGCGUGAGUGAAGAAGGCCUUCGGGUCGUAAAGCCCUGUUGUAAGAGAAAAACGGUAAUGAUAGGAAAUGAUCAUUAAGUGAUGGUAUCUUACGAGGAAGCCACGGCUAACUACGUGCCAGCAGCCGCGGUAAUACGUAGGUGGCAAGCGUUAUCCGGAAUGAUUGGGCGUAAAGGGUGCGCAGGCGGAGGCACAAGUCAGCGGUAAAAUCGCGGGGCUCAACCCCGCUCCGCCGUUGAAACU
This 305-nucleotide ribosomal RNA is filed under the name uncultured bacterium. Its description in RNAcentral is "bacterial SSU rRNA". It matches the Rfam family "Bacterial small subunit ribosomal RNA", at positions 334 to 634 of the family's 1533-position model. The record is from RNAcentral.